UUGGUUAUUGAUAUAGUCAAUUAUGCUAAUAGUUUUCCUAAUAUUGAACCAGCCCUGCAUUACUGGUAUAAAUCUUACUUAGUCAUGGUGUUUUAUCCUGGGGAUAAUUUUCUGUAAUCUCUUUCUGUUGAAAGCCGAAGGUCCCCGCCCAGGUGCCUUUCUCAUGACCCCAGCCCAGAUGCCUUUUCCCCACCCCUUGCUGCAACAGAAUCGCGCAGGUGGUCAAACAAUUUUGAGAACUGCAACCGGGCAAAACGGUCUUGAGAAUCAAUCUUGAGUUGUCACCACACUAUGUUCCUGCUCACUGGACCAGCUAUAGCCCAUGUUCUUUUCCCAGACCCUACCCUACUUCUCUUUCCCAUGCUUUUGCUAUAUAAGUUGUACCCUGAGAGCAAUAAACUGAGACCUUGGCAACAAUCAGCUUGGUCUCCCUCCUCUUUCUCGCCCGUUUCUCUUUCAGGCUGGAUCCUCCUCGAUGCCCCCAUGAGUAACUAAAGUCCCGCCAGUCGGGACAGGUGGCGCCCAACGUGGGGCUCGAGGCAUGGACCCUUGCCAGACAGACCCCGGAGAAGUCGUCGCGACCCCUGCUGUUUGAAGUUUCGGCCACUGAGAGGGACUCAGUAGAGAGCUGGACAAAUUGCCAACACUUCCUAAUGGCGGUUUGGCUGGCUCUCUGAGGAGCCCCCUUCCCGGCCCCCUCGCUGCUCACGAAGAGCCCCAGUCCUCGGAAUCUACAAGAUGAACACCCUCACCUUCGGAAUUCUCCUCUGCUGGACCACUGUCUGGAAUCCCUCCGAUGCCCGCCCUACCGCCUAUUCCCCCUACUCCCUCCUAUGGUGGAAUGUUUCGCCCUACCCUUCAUAAGGGCCCCCCUUCUCCUGCCAAGCUCAUUCUUUCCUUGAUUAAUACCUCUGUCCAAGCUGUUCGCAAGCUCAACAAUACCCUCGUGGAAGAUUGCUGGGUUUGUUAUUCUUCCUCCCCCCCUUUUUAUGAAGGCAUUGCCCAUUUUGGAAACCCUGUGUUUACCAAUGACCCUUCCCCCUUAUGUUGGGGAAGUGAUAAUAAGCAUGGCCUCACCCUCAGUAAAAUUACUGGCCUAGGACUAUGCCUUUUAGGACCCAACAUGCUGCCUCCUUUACAGCUAAGGGAGGUAUGUGACCAAACCAUUACAAUUACUCCAGCCUUCACGUAUGUGGCUGCCCCUAAUGAUUCAUACCUCGCUUGCUCCUCCGGCCUGACCACAUUUGUUGUUACAACCCACUUUGUCAACAAAAAGGAUUACUGUGUGGUGGUCUCCCUCUUCCCCCACCUUACAAUCCAUGAUCCGGAUGACUUUUUAAGAUUCUGGGAACGGAGAACAAAGGAAGAAUGUUGUUUUUAUACUGAUAAGCUUGGCCUUGUAGAAAAUAGUAUACAAAAAAUCAAAGAAAGCUUAGAAAAAAGAAAAGAGGGAACAACAAGAAUCUUGGUAUCAGAAGUGGUUUUCUACAUCCCCCUGGCUUUCCACCCUCCUCCCUAGUCUUCUAGGACCCCUCGUAGGCAUAGUGCUAUUGCUUUCUUUUGGUCCAUGGGCUUUUAACAAACUAACCAGCUUUGUUAAGUUACAGGUCAACUCGGCCCUGCAAAAACCUAUUGCAAUCCAUUACCACAGUCUUGACACUCAUGGAUCUCAUGAGGAUCCCCCAUCCUCCACUGUUGCCCUGAGGGCCUCCGAUUUUCUACCUUGGCCAUCAAAAUUGAGUCCCCGUGGUAUUUAAGGGUGUGGAGGCGCCUCCGGGAGACACAAUCUCAUUCAUAAUUUUCGGGCUAUUGCUGUGGAAGAGCCAAUGAUGGGAAUAUUGUGGCCCCAUGAUCCAGGAACAUCAUACCUUACGCUGCAGGGAUACCCAAUGACGGGAUUAUUGUGGAUCCGUUCUCCAGAUGCACGCCCCUGCGGGUCUUUGCUGGGGUGCUGGGACGGAUGCCGCCCACAUAGCCUAAGACAGGGGACCUGCCUUUUCCUGGCCCUGAGGGCCUGGUUAUUUAGGUACUGGAUAUGGAUACAGGCCACAUAGCCUAAGACAGGCCUUCCACCAGCCCUUGAUAAAAGUUUUUCUUCUCUUUCUUUCUUUUCUCCUUUUGCCUUUGAAAGAAAAAAGGGGGACAUGUUGGAAGCCGAAGGCCCCCGCCCAGGUGCCUUUCUCAUGACCCCAGCCCAGGUGCCUUUUCCCCACCCCUUGCUGCAACAGAAUCACGCAGGUGGUCAAACAAUUCUGAGAACUGCAACCGGGCAAAACAGUCUUGAGAAUCAGUCUUGAGUUGUCACCACACUAUGUUCCUGCUCACUGGACCAGCUAUAGCCCAUGUUCUUUUCCCAGACCCUACCCUACUUCUCUUUCCCAUGCUUUUGCUAUAUAAGUUGUAUCCUGAGAGCAAUAAACUGAGACCUUGGCAACAAUCA
Molecule: long non-coding RNA, 2440 nt
Organism: Antechinus flavipes (yellow-footed antechinus)
Lineage: Eukaryota; Metazoa; Chordata; Mammalia; Dasyuromorphia; Dasyuridae
Exons: 2
Source: RefSeq, a predicted model, not a curated record